UCCGGAGUAGCUCAAUGGUGGAGCAGGCGGCUGUUAACCGCAAGGUUGUCGGUUCGAACCCGACCUCCGGAGCCA
This 75-nucleotide transfer RNA is filed under the name Candidatus Peregrinibacteria bacterium RIFOXYA2_FULL_41_18. RNAcentral describes it as "tRNA-Asn". It matches the Rfam family "tRNA". From Rfam's summary of the family: Transfer RNA (tRNA) molecules are approximately 80 nucleotides in length. Their secondary structure includes four short double-helical elements and three loops (D, anti-codon, and T loops). The record is from RNAcentral. RNAcentral also lists the same sequence under 3 other names. Lineage: Bacteria; Candidatus Peregrinibacteriota.